Molecule: transfer RNA, 75 nt
Filed under: Acidobacteriota bacterium
Lineage: Bacteria; Pseudomonadati; Acidobacteriota
Also listed under: 2 other names
Description: tRNA-Glu
Rfam family: tRNA
About the family: Transfer RNA (tRNA) molecules are approximately 80 nucleotides in length. Their secondary structure includes four short double-helical elements and three loops (D, anti-codon, and T loops).
Source: RNAcentral
GGCGCUAUCGUCUAGGGGCUAGGACGGGUGGUUCUCAGCCAUCAAACCAGGGUUCGAUUCCCUGUAGCGCUACCA